RNAcentral lists this ribosomal RNA (645 nucleotides) under uncultured bacterium. Its description in RNAcentral is "bacterial SSU rRNA". The stretch from base 1 to 529 matches the Rfam family "Bacterial small subunit ribosomal RNA", at positions 338 to 873 of the family's 1533-position model. The record is from RNAcentral.
CCUACGGGAGGCAGCAGUGGGGAAUAUUGGACAAUGGGCGAAAGCCUGAUCCAGCAAUGCCGCGUGAGUGAAGAAGGCCUUCGGGUUGUAAAGCUCUUUUACCCGGGAAGAUAAUGACUGUACCGGGAGAAUAAGCUCCGGCUAACUCCGUGCCAGCAGCCGCGGUAAUACGGAGGGAGCUAGCGUUGUUCGGAAUUACUGGGCGUAAAGCGUACGUAGGCGGCUUGGUAAGUCAGAGGUGAAAGCCCACGACUCAAUCGUGGAACUGCCUUUGAGACUGCUUCGCUUGAAGAUGGGAGAGGUUAGUGGAAUUCCGAGUGUAGAGGUGAAAUUCGUAGAUAUUCGGAAGAACACCAGUGGCGAAGGCGGCUAACUGGACCAUUCUUGACGCUGAGGUACGAAAGCGUGGGGAGCAAACAGGAUUAGAUACCCUGGUAGUCCACGCCGUAAACGAUGAUAACUAGCUGUCGGGGGCUCUUGGAGCGUUCGGUGGGUCGGCAGCUAACGACAUUAAAGUUUAAUUACCGUCCGUCGGGGUAGGGUACGGGCCGGACCGAAACGGUUAAAAACGUUAAACGAAAAGGAAAGUUAAGUACGGCGUGUAAGGACGUGCCGAACGGACGACCGAACCGAAGGGGAAGGAGG